GAAUUGCUUGUCUUCAUGAGAUCUGGGCGUUGAGCUAUUGUCACUUGAUUACAUUGAUGCAUACAUGCUGUUACAUAGCCUUGCAAUUUAACUGCUUCUCUGCUUCCCUCCAGCUGCGGCACAGUGAGGGAGAGGAAUUAAAGUGUACACAGAACCUAAAAUUCUGCUCUAAGGAAUUUGGAUCAAGUUGAGUAUGAGUGGCAUGUUUGGACCCAUGUCCUUGAUGAACCAGAAAGAUGGAUAUAACAUGAAGAAAAGGAAGAGAAAAUCCACUGCAGACAUAUCCAAAUUCAGGGAGCAAAACAUGGUCAAACUUGAGUGCCUAUAUUAGGCUGAAAACCCAGAGAGGCUGAAUCUUUUCAUCCCUGUCGAGUCACUGAGAUCUACAGAGGAAGUCUCGGUUAGUGAUCCCCCAUGGCUCAGGUGCAUGAGGAGCCAAGAGUACAAUAUUGUGGCACCCCAGCAUUUUCUAUUUCUAUAAGCUGCGCUGGGGCCUUAUGGAGAAGGGCAGGUAAGAAAUCUUAUCAAUCAGUCAGUCACCUACACUGCAGGAGGGAAGCAAGAAUCCACCAGAAAUUAAGAAAGAAUAUGGGUUUCCAGUUCUCCCUUACCAAUCCCACAACAGAAGAUUAGUAUGCUUCUUAUACAGGGAAGGGGCAUGUGUAGGUGUUGACUACAUUGACACAAACCAUGCCCAGG
This 699-nucleotide long non-coding RNA is filed under the name Podarcis muralis (Common wall lizard). RNAcentral's name for it is "lncRNA (ENSPMRG00000021118.1)". The record is from RNAcentral. Lineage: Eukaryota; Metazoa; Chordata; Lepidosauria; Squamata; Lacertidae.